GAGUUUGAUCCUGGCUCAGAUUGAACGCUGGCGGCAGGCCUAACACAUGCAAGUCGAGCGGAAACGAGUUAACUGAACCUUCGGGGAACGUUAACGGCGUCGAGCGGCGGACGGGUGAGUAAUGCCUGGGAAAUUGCCCUGAUGUGGGGGAUAACCAUUGGAAACGAUGGCUAAUACCGCAUAAUAGCUUCGGCUCAAAGAGGGGGACCUUCGGGCCUCUCGCGUCAGGAUAUGCCCAGGUGGGAUUAGCUAGUUGGUGAGGUAAUGGCUCACCAAGGCGACGAUCCCUAGCUGGUCUGAGAGGAUGAUCAGCCACACUGGAACUGAGACACGGUCCAGACUCCUACGGGAGGCAGCAGUGGGGAAUAUUGCACAAUGGGCGCAAGCCUGAUGCAGCCAUGCCGCGUGUAUGAAGAAGGCCUUCGGGUUGUAAAGUACUUUCAGCAGUGAGGAAGGUGGAUAUCUUAAUAGCAUAUUCAUUUGACUCA
Molecule: ribosomal RNA, 488 nt
Filed under: uncultured bacterium
Lineage: Bacteria
Description: bacterial SSU rRNA
Rfam family: Bacterial small subunit ribosomal RNA
Source: RNAcentral